UACGGAGGAUGCGAGCGUUAUCCGGAUUUAUUGGGUUUAAAGGGUGCGUAGGCGGGCUUUUAUGUCAGCGGUAAAAAUUCGGGGCUCAACCCCGUCCGGCCGUUGAAACUGGGGGCCUUGAGUGGGCGAGAAGAAGGCGGAAUGCGUGGUGUAGCGGUGAAAUGCAUAGAUAUCACGCAGAACCCCGAUUGCGAAGGCAGCCUUCCGGCGCCCUACUGACGCUGAGGCACGGAAGUGCGGGGAUCGAACAGG
Molecule: ribosomal RNA, 252 nt
Filed under: uncultured bacterium
Lineage: Bacteria
Description: partial 16S ribosomal RNA
Rfam family: Bacterial small subunit ribosomal RNA
Source: RNAcentral